GAUGAACGCUGGCGGCAGGCCUAACACAUGCAAGUCGAACGGAAGCACAGUAAGAGCGUGCCCUUAACGGUGGCGGGUGGCGGACGGGUAAGGCGUACAUCGCCCACCUCUUUUACGUGGAGGAUAACGUGGGGCCACUUCCGCUAAUGCCGCAUACGCCCAACGGGUUGGAUCAAUGGUUAUUCGGACCUUGCGCGACUGAUUGAGCCGGUGUCGGGUUAGCUAGUUGGGGGGGUAAGGGCACACCAAGGCGAGGCUACGUUGCCGAGCCGAGAGGAUGAUCAGCCACACUGGAACUGAGACACGGUCCAGACUCCUACGGGAGGCAGCAGUGGGGAAUCUUCGGCAAUGGGCGCAAGCCUGAUCCAGCCAUACCGCGUGGGUGAAGAAGGCCUUCGGGUCGUAAAGCCCUUUUGUUGGGGAAGAACAGCAGUAUGUUAAACCCCCGCUGUUUUGACGGUACCCAAAGAAUAAGCACCGGCUAACUACGUG
RNAcentral lists this ribosomal RNA (492 nucleotides) under uncultured bacterium. RNAcentral describes it as "partial 16S ribosomal RNA". It matches the Rfam family "Bacterial small subunit ribosomal RNA", at positions 28 to 507 of the family's 1533-position model. The record is from RNAcentral.